CAUUUUAUUUAUAAUGACGUAUUUAACGUCUCUGCAAUUUUCAGCUCUAUUCGAAUUUUGGCUAAAUUAUGACUUAUUUUUGUCUAUUUUGACUGGACUACUUGUUUUCCAUCAAUGCUGGGAUAAUUGUAUGGCAUGUAAUAGAACAAUAGUUCGGUAAUUUGAUUCUCAAUUCAAAUAUAUAUUUCCUGACCACUUCUACAAUGGGUAAAUCUACCAAGAACACCCUGACAACUUUCCUCUGCAUUUUCAACUCAAUUAUUUUGAUUUGUGGAGUAGCCCUUUUUAUGUUACACAGCUAUAGAUUGCUUACCCUCCGCUCUGUAACGGAGAUUACAAAAGGCGCAACAGACAAUGUUCAGAUGGCUCCGGUAAUAUGUUUAAUUAUUGCUUUAGUGCUUAUAGUUGUAUCAGGGAUUGCGUUUUUUGGGAUAUUAAAUGGGAUAACAAUAAUAUUA
This is a long non-coding RNA of Agrilus planipennis (emerald ash borer), 458 nucleotides long. RefSeq lists it as uncharacterized. NCBI's taxonomy places the organism in Eukaryota, Metazoa, Arthropoda, Insecta, Coleoptera, Buprestidae. The record is from RefSeq and is a predicted model, not a curated record. The transcript is spliced from 3 exons.